AGAGUGCUCUAAAAAUAAAUGCUCUCUACUUGCUAAUAGAAUACUCUAGAGUACUGUAAAAAUAAAUACUAUCUCUACUUACUAAUAGAUCACUCUAGAGAGCUCUAGAAAUAAGUGCUCUGAAAUACUCUAGAAUGCUCAAGUUGGUGGGUUGAGGGUCUCUAAAUAGGUGUGAGGCCCCCACACUAAGUGAGGUGUGUAGUGAAGUGGUAAAGGUGUGUGGUGAAGUUGUAGUGGUGUGGUGAGGUAUAGUAUAGAGAGUGAGGGUGUAUAAGAGGUGUGUUGAGUUGUGAAGUUAAUGUAUGAGUCUUUUAGUCUUUUGGGUGUAUGUGAUAAAAUUAUAUGUCAGAGUUAAUUAUUUUGUGUGUAAUAAAGAGAGUUUUAUUAUUAGUUUGGUAUGCCAAUAUUCUACAAUUUGGUAUUAGAGAUAGAUUGUAGAAAAUAUUCUGCUAGUUAAGUCAGCGAAAUUCUGCCAGUCCAGACAGUUAAAUACCAAUAUAAGCAAAGAUUCUGCUGGUGCACAGUCUGGAACUGUGAAGUUGGUUGGUCUGAGACCAGACUUACUUGAUUGACUGCUGGGCAAUCACCAAGUCACUAUGGCAGAUCUUGUUGGUACAACUAGCGGAAUUAAGAGGCUAAAUAACCAUAAUUAUGGUUAUUGGCAAACCUGCAUUGAGUCCUGCCUAUAAGGGCAGGACCUAUGGGAGAUAAUUGGUGGUGCUGAAACAACUCCACCAUCGAAGGAGAAUGCAGAGGUGCUCAGGAAGUGGUGUAUGAAGGCAGGAAAUGCAAUGUUCGUUUUGAAGAUGACGAUCAAAGAAGAGCUGCUGGAGCAUAUCAAAGAAGCAGACGCCCAAGGCUGCAUGGGAUAUCCUCACCUCGUUAUUUUCAAAAAAGAACGAUGCUCGACUUCAACUGCUGGAGAAUAAGCUAAUGACGAAAUCUCAGGGCAACAUGACGAUUAGCCAGUACUUCAUGAAAGUAAAAUCUCUCUACCGCGAAAUUUUUCAGUUAGAUCCAUAGUAAAAAAUUAGUGAUCAGCAGAUAAAGAGAAUUAUUAUUCACGGCCUAAAACCCGAAUUUAACGGGUUUAUUACUGCUAUCUAAGGCUGGCCCACUCAACCAACGUUAGUGGAACUGAAAAAUUUAUUGCCAAAUCGGGAGGCUCUAGCUAAACAGAUGGCUAGAGUCUCACGAAAAAAUAAAAAGCAGGCACUCUCCAACAGUAGAAGAAAGGGUCAAGCAACAUGAGGGCCAAGAAAUAUGAAGCCGCUGAAGAAGUUCAGUGGGUCAAAACAUAGGUCGGGAGAGAGCCACCUUGCAGGGAGAGUCCACAACCAGAAGGACCAAAAUAACUAGCGAUCUAAAGCCGACAAACGACGAAGCGGAGAGUGUUACAACUGCGGCAAGAAAGUACACUUCGCCCGAGAUUGUUGGUACAUGAAGAAACAAGCACAAGGUAUAUGGCAACAUCAGGUGACCACCAAGCAGCAUAUAAUAGUAAAGAAGAGUGGGAUGCUCAUGCCUCCUUCGCCAUCAUAGAGUCAGAAGAAGACUGUCACUCAGACAAGAAGAAGGCUCUCGAAGAACAAAGGUCAGAAGACACUGCUACAGAGGAGAUGAGUCAAGGUAGCUAGAUAAAGCAAACUUUGGCAUGCCAAAACAAUAGCAAAUCCAAGAGAAGUGAAUUACAGUGCAGAUUGGAUCAUCGACUUUGGAUGUUCCAAUCAUAUAACCGGUGAUAAAGACAAUGUGCUCAGCACAACAGAAUAUAAAGGAAGAAGAGUAGUGGUGACAGCUAACAACUCGAAACUGCUAAUCACUCACAUAAGAAAGACGGUCAUCAUACCCAGAUUCAGCCCAUAUUAAGUACAACUACAGAACGUCUACCAUAUCUCAGGUAUAAAGAAAAAUCUCUUAUCAAUAUCACAAUUGAUUGCAUCAGGCAAUUAUGUAGUAUUUGGGCCACAAUAUGUCAAGGUAUUUCGUAGUCCCAAGAUAUCAGGUAUACAAAUUAUGUAAGAAAAGAGAGUAGAGUCGAUCUAUGUAAUGUCUACAAAUCGACAUACGUAGAAAAGUCUCGAAAAAGUGAGACUGCUAACUUGUGGCAUACAAGACUGGGACAUGUAGGGUAUUACAAACUAAAAAUUAUGAUGGAGCGCAGUAUGUUGAACGGCUUACCUCAACUUUAAGUACGAGGAGACACAAUCUGCGCAGGAUGCUAGUUUGGUAAGACUCAUCAACUUCCCCAUAUUGAAUCCAAAUAUAGAGCCAAGGAACCAUCGAAACUCGUGCACUCUGUUGUUUUUGGACAAGUCAAGCAAACAUCUAUCAGCGGCAUGUGCUACAUAGUGACGGUCAUUGAAGACUUCUCAAGGUGCAUCUGGAUAUACUUAAUUUAUUAAAGAAAAAAAUAAAGUGCUACAAAAUUUAAAAAGUUUAAAGAAAAAGUUGAAAGCCAAACUGGCCAUAAUAUACGAUGCCUGCGCACGGAUAAUAGAGGUGAAUAUACCUCAAUAGAGUUCUCAGCUUAUCUACGAGAGUAAAAAUAAAGGAGACAACUUACGUCUCCAUGCACUCCGCAAUAAAAUGGUAUAGCUGAGAGAAAGAAUAGACACUUAGCAGAAACUUGUCGAAGCAUGCCGCAUGCAAAGAAUGUGCCAAGCAUAUUUUGGGUAGAAUGUAUGAGAACAACAGCACAUGUCAUCAACCGACUACCUCAACCAAGGUUGGGAUUCAUCUCACCCAAUCAAGUACUGUGGAAGAUCAAACCCACAGUAAGUCAUUUUCGAGUUUUUGGUUGUGUGUGGUAUGUGUUCGUACCGGACCAUCUUCGAAGUAAAAUCGACAAGAAGGCUAUACGAUGUAUCUUCGUCGGGUACGACAGUGAAAGAAAAGGGUGGAGAUGCUGUGAUCCAACAAUUAGUCAUUGCUACACGUCAAGAAAUGUUGUGUUCAAUGAAGCGUUGUCCUGGUGGUCAUCACAAGAAGUUAUACUGCCAGACUCUAAAGAAAUAAAAAUCAAGCUACAAGAAAAGCUUGGAGAGCAAGUACAAGAAGAGAAGACGACAUCAGAGCAAGGAGAAAGUGGUCAACCUUCCAUAGAGCCAACCAGUGACGAGCGGCAACUCCAAAAGUCUACAAAACCCUCGCAAAAUGGCGUGCAUUUUCAAACCCCAGAAGAAGAUCGACCAAGCCAAAUUGCAAAUACAAGUGCGCAAUUACGAAAGUCUUCUAGGCAAAGAAAACAUAAUCCUAAAUAUGCAAAUGCUGCUCUUGCUGGAAAAGAAAAAAUUCCAAAAAAGCCGGCCACCUAUAAGGAAGCAGUUACAAGCAAGAAGUGGAGGAACGCGAUAGACAAAGAGAUCCAAGUGCUAAAGCAAAAUUAGACUUGGGAGAUAGUACCAAAGCCAAAGGAUGUGAAGCCCAUAUCAUGUCAAUAGGUAUAUAAAGUAAAGAUCCAUCCAGAUAUGUCAAUAGAGAGGUACAAAGUUCAAAAAGUUUCGGAAGCGAUUAGAAAUACUUAGCAGAGCAACAUUAAGAGAGAGUCAAAGUUGAGGGGGAAUAUUGAAACAGGUAACUCUCUCUCUCUCUCUCUCUCUCUCUUUUAUAUAGAACACUCUAGAGUGCUGUAGAAAUAAGUGCUCUCUACUUGCUAAUAGAACACUUUAGAGUGCUCUAGAAACAAGUGCUCUCUCUAUUUGUUAAUAGAGCACUCUAGAGAGCUUUAGAAAUAAGCUAGUGCUCUAAAUUAAUACUCUAGAGUGCUCAAGUUGGUGGACUGGGGGCCUAUAAAUAGGUGUGAGGUCCCCACACUAAGUGAGGUGUGUAGUGAAGUGGUAAAGGUGUGUGGUAAAGUUGUAGUGGUGUGUAGUGAAGUGGUAAAGGUGUGUGGUAAAGUCGCAGUGGUGUAGUGAGGUAUAGUGUAGAGAGUGAGGGUGUAUAAAAGGUGUGUUGAAUUGUGAAGUUAGUGUGUGAAUCUUUUAGUCUUUCGGGUGUAUGUGAUAAAAUUAUACAUAAGAGUUACUUUGUAUGUAAUAAAGAGAGUUUUAUUGUUAAUUGGUACCCCAAUAUUCUAUAGUUGUUAUAUAUUUAACAUGGUACCAAAGAAAGAGAUCUUGAAUUCAAAUUCUAUCGGACAUAUGAGAAAGACUAUUAAAUAUGAAUGUUAAAAAU
RNAcentral lists this long non-coding RNA (4176 nucleotides) under Ananas comosus (pineapple). RNAcentral's name for it is "long non-coding RNA (ACOM_LNC009256)". Lineage: Eukaryota; Viridiplantae; Streptophyta; Magnoliopsida; Poales; Bromeliaceae. The record is from RNAcentral.